Non-coding RNA from Podarcis lilfordi (Lilford's wall lizard), 113 nucleotides. Lineage: Eukaryota; Metazoa; Chordata; Lepidosauria; Squamata; Lacertidae. The record is from the annotation of a GenBank genome assembly.
CCCGGGCGCACUCUUCAGUGUGCCCCAGGCUUCGGAAUGCAGGCAGCUCCCGAGGGUCGCGCGGAGCUGCCUGCAUUCCGAAGCCUGGGGCGCGCUGAAGAGGGUUGUGUGGA